AACAGUUGCGAUCUCGCAGGGGGAGCUAAUCUGAAAAAACCGGUCUCAGUUCGGAUUGAGGGCUGCAACUCGCCCUCAUGAAGUUGGAAUCGCUAGUAAUCGCGAAUCAGCAAUGUCGCGGUGAAUACGUUCUCGGGUCUUGUACACACCGCCCGUCACACCAUGAGAGUUGAUAAUACCAGAAGUCGGUAUCCUAACCGUAAGGAGGGAGCCGCCCAAGGUAGGAUUGAUGAUUAGGGUGAAGUCGUAACAAGGUAUCCGUACCGGAAGGUGCGGAUGGAUCACCUCCUUUCUAUGGAGUUAUACUUUAUAGUAAAUACGGCUAUAAUGAAGUUAUGUUUAGUUUUCAGAGAUUAGUUUCUCUGAAUUAAUCGAAAUUGAACAAGUAGUUAAAUUUUGAUUAAAAAUUGUUCUUUGAAAACUGGAUAAUAGACAUCUAGUUAUUUCAUUUUUAAUGAAAUAACAAAAUAAUUCAAAUUUUCUGUUAUUAAAGUAAUUUUUAAAUUAAUAACUAAAAUUUCACAGUUAUAUUUUGUAAAUGAUUCUCAAAAAAAUUAUAAAAACCUUGAUUAAUUUAAUUAAUUAAGCAAUGAUCAAACUUUGAAGUUACAAAGGGCGUAUGGUGAAUGCCUUGGGAAUAGGAGACGAUGAAGGACGUGACUACCUGCGAUAAGGUUCGGGGAGCUGGAAGUAAGCUUUGAUCCGGACAUGUCCGAAUGGGGAAACCCGGUGAGAUUAAUCUCUCAUCAUCCUAUAAUGAAUAAAUAGUUAUAGAGAAGGUAUACCUAGGGAAUUGAAACAUCUUAGUACCUAGAGGAAAAGAAAGCGAAAGCGAUUCUCUGAGUAGCGGCGAGCGAAAGGGGAACAGCCCAAACCAACUUAUGUUGGGGUUGUAGGACCACAUUAGUAGAGUUACAAAACUUGUUUAUAGUAGAAAUGGUUGGGAAACCAUGCCACAGAGGGUGAUAGCCCCGUAUACGAAAUGAACAGGACUCGAAGUGGAAUCCUGAGUACGGCGAGACACGUGAAAUCUUGUCGGAAUCAACGCGGACCACCGCGUAAGGCUAAAUACUACCUAUUCACCGAUAGUGAACCAGUACCGUGAGGGAAAGGUGAAAAGCACCCCGGGAGGGGAGUGAAAAAGUACCUGAAACCAUAUGCCUACAAGAAGUCGGAGCCCGUUAAUGGGUGACGGCGUGCCUUUUGUAGAAUGAGCCGGCGAGUUAUGAUAGCAUGCAAGGUUAAGUGGAAGACACGGAGCCGUAGUGAAAGCGAGCCUUAAUAGGGCGUUUAGUAUGUUGUCAUAGACCCGAAACCAGGUGAUCUAGCCAUGAGCAGGUUGAAGUUGAGGUAAAACUUAAUGGAGGACCGAACCGACGUUCGUGAAAAGACCGCGGAUGA
This 1401-nucleotide small RNA is filed under the name Spiroplasma sp. NM1208-5. RNAcentral describes it as "bacterial LSU rRNA". The stretch from base 600 to 1401 matches the Rfam family "Bacterial large subunit ribosomal RNA", at positions 1 to 807 of the family's 2925-position model. The record is from RNAcentral. Lineage: Bacteria; Bacillati; Mycoplasmatota; Mollicutes; Entomoplasmatales; Spiroplasmataceae.